RNAcentral lists this long non-coding RNA (1882 nucleotides) under Cricetulus griseus (Chinese hamster). RNAcentral describes it as "lncRNA (ENSCGRG00015033850.1)". Lineage: Eukaryota; Metazoa; Chordata; Mammalia; Rodentia; Cricetidae. The record is from RNAcentral.
AGGGAAUUUAUUUGCUGGCUUACUUGAUACACUGGGUAACCCAGCAAUGGCUGUCUGGACAACAGAGAAGCUGAGAACUUAGCUGUCAGCCUAUGAGAUGAAUGCCUCAGCAGUCCCAAUCUGCUGAGAAGACCUGGAAAACUCCCGGAGAUCCGCUGGUCUCCCACCCACACUGGAAGGCUGAAGAAUACGGGUUACUCUGUAAGUAAAGGAGCAACAGCAGCAGCAGUAGCAGCAGCAACAGAGUGAUGCACUUACCAGGGUAUGAAGGCUAGCAGGUGAAAAGCAAGAGCUUUUCCCUUGCAUCUCUUUACAUCUAGGUUGGGGCCAGAAGGUGCCAUGCAUUUUGGGGUAGAGUCAUUUAGCUUUUCUAGGAACUACCCUUACAGAUCUGCCCAGAGACCUGCCUCUUUGCUGAUUCUAGAUCCAAUCAAGUUGACUACCAAGUUACUCACCCUACCUGUUCAUUGGGAAAUGUUACUGGUUCCAAAUUGUUGCUCUAUCAGAGCAGGUUUAUCAGAUCAGUUCUACUGCACUCAUUUCUGGAAGUCAUCCUGUUGGGGGAUGUUCUUCUGUAUAUAUGUUUCUCAUAUUGGUUGGUGAAUAAAACACUGAUUGGCCAAUAGAGACAGGAAGAUAGGUGGGGCUAGGAGACAAGGAGAAUGCUGGGGAGAGACAGGUGGAGGAGACACCAUGUAGAUACUGGGAAGAUAGGAUAUGCCAGGUGUUCUCUGAUGCAUUAAAGCUUUACUGCAGAAGGAUCCGAGUGUCCUGUGUCCUUCUUGCUGGCGAGACGAUCUCUCGGGACAUCUGGUGCUGAAACCCGGGAACUUGUUGACAUCGCCGGCGCUGCGGGAGACCCCUCGGAGGACGGGGCGGAUUCAGAACUGCAGGGAGGACGAAGAGAAUCCCCUGUGGAUCCCAGAAAGACUCACCCGAAGAGCCCCUUCGGACCCUCAAAAGCCGGAACUCCACCUUCUCCCCUCAAAUUAGUCGGGAGUUCAAUGAGACCUUCCCAGGCUCUUCCUGGAUUUCAUCAGCAGUUUCUUAUUUUAAGGAAUGGGUGGGGGUGGGACUUUUUUGGCACAAUUCUCUGCAGUGGUGUGGUGUUUAUGCUUUGGACUGUGUGUAGACUCAAAACCCAAACAAAAAAGAUAAGGCAGUGUUUGCACAGGCACUCGCUGCCCUAGAGAAUGGAAUCUCCCCCGGCAUUUGGCUAAGCAUGUUGAAGCAAUAGGUCGCCGACUGCUCAGCUCCUGCACCUCCGGAGGCUUGACCUCAUUGCACGGAAUAGAGUGAGCAGGGUUUGGCAGGCCAAAAGAGUUGCAAGGCUAAGCACUUCACAGAAAGGGCCUGCAGCUUUUCUUGUGGCUCUUCUGGGAGAUAUGUCAUCUUGCAUGAAGGUUAUAUAUCAUAAUGCCCUUCCCCCAGAAAAAGACAUAAGGACGGGUCUGGGCCUGCUCUGGACACAAAGUCUGGAGUCCUGCUCAAGACAAGGUCUGCAUCCAGUUUUUGGGAGUUGACCUCUAUCUCCACUCUGCAUUUGGCUGGCCUAUAGCCUCUGUGUUUCUAUAUAAUUAUAUAGGGGGAGAUGUGAGGAGCCGCACUCACAUUCGCCAUUACAAGAUGGCACUGACAUCCGCUGCCGGAUCAAGUAAACAACAUUGGUGCACAUGUGCCCAGUGUUUUUCCACUUGCCUCGUCUUGCCUCUCCCGUGGCGUCAUAUAGGGUGAUGAGUCAUCCACCUAUCCCAGCUGUACACGCACUGCUCGGAGCUUAUGAGCCUUUAUAAGGGGACGAGAUUCUUGGCUCGGGGUCUCCCUAAUCGGAAGCUGAUCAUCUGUCUCUCAAGAUGCAUUAAAGCUUUUCUCUCAAGAUGCA